Molecule: microRNA precursor, 85 nt
Organism: Petromyzon marinus (sea lamprey)
Lineage: Eukaryota; Metazoa; Chordata; Hyperoartia; Petromyzontiformes; Petromyzontidae
Source: Ensembl
CUGUUCACGCUCACAGAAACUGUGAUCAAUCUGCUUAAUUAUGACAAGCAAGUGCUUCCUGUUGUUGUGAAUGUGAAUCAGACCC